RNAcentral lists this long non-coding RNA (2134 nucleotides) under Homo sapiens (human). Its description in RNAcentral is "non-protein coding lnc-EPS15L1-2:1". Lineage: Eukaryota; Metazoa; Chordata; Mammalia; Primates; Hominidae. The record is from RNAcentral.
CAACCCAGCAAAAUCUUAUAAAAACGAACCAGGUAGCCCAAAAAUGCCCACCUGUCUCUCUAUGUACAGUAAUACAAUAUUUGUCAGUCACUAUAUACAAUAUUAUAAAAAAUGCCGCAGACAGUACAAAUUAAGGCCCUUAUUUCUCACAAGGCAUCACAAGCCUCGAUCCUCUAGUGUAGACCCGGUGGGAGAGAAGAUGCCACUUAAAUUAUUGCACCAUUUUGAAAAACAAAACUCGUCAAGGAGGAUCGUGGUCUUUUCCCACCGGGCCUUCAGUCACAGACGGGGGCUGGGGUGGUGGCGUCGUCGUCGUCGUCAUCGAGGGAGACCCUCUGUAGCCACGCUGUGCCCGGCCCGGUUCUCUGGGUCCAAUAAAUACCAGUCACAGUUUGGGAGGGGGCCGCGCCCGGCGCGUGGGACCCGCCACGGCCGCGCGCAGGUGGGCGGGGGCGUCCCGGCUACAUGUGCCGUUUCAUGUGCAGCGCCAGGUGAUCGGAGCGCGAGAAGGCACGAUCGCACAGAUGGCACUGGAAUGGCCGGUGGCCCGUGUGCUUUCGGUAGUGGCGCGUGAGCUCGUCUGAGCGCGCAAACUUCCAGCCGCAGCCGUCCCAGUUGCAGUGGUAGGGCUUCUCACCUGCAGGGAGGGGGCGAGAGUAAGCGUCAGUUCCCCUCCCAGGACAGGGCACGUAUGGCUACCCCGGCGAGCGCAACCUAUCCCUAACCAGGGCCUUGACGCGCUCCCCGCGGUAGUGUUGCGCCCCUGAGGGAUCCUUGCCCUACAUCCCCAACUCCCCCCACAAUCCGGAUCCUCACCCCCAGGGGGUCGGAGGAGCGCAAGGUCCACUCCCCACUGUUGUCAGCCACGCUCCCCGACGGGUCCUAAGCAUGCACCCUCUCUCCAGCAUUCUAAGACACGGAAUCUCUCAAGGUUUCCCAGCGAACACUCCCUCCCCAAGGUCCUGAGCCUUGUCCCCAGAGGAGUCCCAAGCCUGAGCGCCCUCCCCAACUUCCUGAGACGCAGCAUCUCCCCGGGGUUCCUAAACGCGCACCUACUCCCCAACUACCUGAGCCUCAGCCCCGGGGAUUCUGAGCCAAGUGCCCAGCGGCUCCUAAACCUGCUCCCCCUCCCCAACUUUCUGAGACUGUCUCCCUAGCCACGCCUCCAGGAGGUUUUCUAAGUGCUCUUCCCAACCUCCGGAGGCCCCCCUCGUCCUAAGCGUGCAAGCCCCCACCCCAACCUCUCGGAUCACACUUCCUUAGGGAGUGUUCCUGUGUGCCCCCCCAACCAACCUCCCGAGCCACGCCUCCUGGGGAGUCCUAAGCGUGCACCACCUGCCAGAUCCCCCUGAGCCACGCCCCAAGGGAGGUCCUAAAUUCAUUUUCUGGCGCGCGCUGGGAAUCCGACCUCUCCUCCCGCGUCCCCCCGCCUGCGCUCCUGGCUCGUGCGUGCCGCCCACCUGUGUGCGUGCGCAGAUGCGCCUUCAGAUGCGAACUCUUGGUGUAGGUCUUGCCGCAGCCCGCGUAGCUGCAGGUGUGAGUGGCGGUGCGUUUGCGGGGCCAAGAGCGGCGGCCGCGCUUUGGCUUGGCCUCCAGCAGCUCCAGCGGGGACGCAGGCGGCGGGGGCGGCGGCGGCGGCUCCGGGGCGGCCUCGGCGCCCAGGCCAUCCAGCCCCAUGGACAGGAUGAAGUCCAGCACGCUGUUGAGGUCGUCGUCGGUGCCGCCGGACUCGGGUUCGGCGCGCGGCCAGCGCUGCGGGCGACAGGGCAAUGGGCGUGAGCGGGCGGCGGGGCUCGGGGGGCGCUGCUUGCCUUUUACCACCCUAAGUCCGCGAUCCCCGUGGCCCGCAUCCUCCUCUCCUGAGUCUGCAGUCCCCGCCUUCGCGUCCUGUCACCCCGCAGCCCACGUUCUACUACCCCGAGCCCGCCGCCCACGGUCCCGGCCGCCCCGCCGUCCCCGCCGCCCUCACCUCCUGCAGGCCGCGCUCGCGGCACGGGCUGGCGAAAGUGGAGAAGGACGGCAGGAUGGGUUCACUCAGCGCCAUGGCCGGGACCCGGGGAGAAAGGACGCGGACGGGGACACCGGUGAGUGGCUGCCCGAGGCCGGGCUGGUCGGGGCGCGGGCGGGCGGGGAC